CCUACGGGAGGCAGCAGUAGGGAAUCUUGCGCAAUGGGCGAAAGCCUGACGCAGCCAUGCCGCGUGAAUGAUGAAGGUCUUAGGAUUGUAAAAUUCUUUCACCGGGGAAGAUAAUGACGGUACCCGGAGAAGAAGCCCCGGCUAACUUCGUGCCAGCAGCCGCGGUAAUACGAAGGGGGCUAGCGUUGCUCGGAAUUACUGGGCGUAAAGGGCGCGUAGGCGGACAGUUUAGUCAGAGGUGAAAGCCCAGGGCUCAACCUUGGAAUUGCCUUUGAUACUGGCUGUCUUGAGUUCGGGAGAGGUGAGUGGAAUGCCGAGUGUAGAGGUGAAAUUCGUAGAUAUUCGGCGGAACACCAGUGGCGAAGGCGACUCACUGGCCCGAUACUGACGCUGAGGCGCGAAAGCGCGGGGAGCAAACAGGAUUAGAUACCCUGGUAGUCCACGCUGUAAACGAUGAGUGCUAGUUGUCGGUCGAUGCAUGCAUGUCGGUGGACGCGACGCGUACG
RNAcentral lists this ribosomal RNA (506 nucleotides) under uncultured bacterium. RNAcentral's name for it is "bacterial SSU rRNA". It matches the Rfam family "Bacterial small subunit ribosomal RNA", at positions 338 to 857 of the family's 1533-position model. The record is from RNAcentral.